UGGCAUUCCUGUUGAGGAAUCAAGUUGCACCUGACCCCUGUGCACUGAGUGCACUAAAGAUUCAUUGCAAGUCUUUGCCUCUGCACCCUCCACAUUGCAUUGAAUAAUCUGUGUGUCUGUUUUCUCCCACUAGGUUUUCAAUUUGUCAAAGAUAAGGAGGUAGUUGCCCUGCACUUUGUAUCUUCAGCAUUUAACACACUCCCUGGCAUAGAUAUUGUUUGUUUGAUGCUUAAAUAAAACAAACUGAAAGACCUUAUAGUUAAGUGAAAGAUAAAUACAAUUAAAGUGUUAUCGGUAUGUAUGCUCUGGAAAUAGACAUGUGAUGGUUAAUAUUGAGUGUCAACUUUAUUGAAUUGAAGGAAGCAAUGUAUUGUUCCUGGUUGUGUCUGUGAGGGUGUUGCCAAAGGAGAUAAACAUUUGAGUCAGUGGACUGAGAGAGGCAGACAGACCCACUCUCGUUCUGAGUGGGCACCAUCGAAUCAGCUGCCAAUGCCGCUAGAAUAAAGCAGGCAGAAGAAAGUGGAAUGAGCAGACUUGCUGAGUCUUCCAGCCUUCAUUUUUCUCCCAUGCUGGAUGCUUCCUGCCCUCCAAAAUCAGACUCCAAGUUCUUCAGCUUUUGGACGCUUGGACAUACACCAGUGGUUUGCCAGGGGCUCUUGGGCCUUUGGCCACAGGCAAGGCUACACUGUUGUCUUCACUACGUUUGAGGUUUUCAGACUUAGACUGGCUUCCUUGCUCCUCAGCUUGAAGAUGGCCUAUUGUGGGACUUCAACUUGUGAUCCUUGUUGGGAUAAGCAGAAGGUUUCAGAAACAAUAAAGAGGAACCAAAUGUAA
Molecule: long non-coding RNA, 834 nt
Filed under: Papio anubis (olive baboon)
Lineage: Eukaryota; Metazoa; Chordata; Mammalia; Primates; Cercopithecidae
Description: lncRNA (ENSPANG00000044605.1)
Source: RNAcentral